RNAcentral lists this transfer-messenger RNA (378 nucleotides) under Acidimicrobiales bacterium. It matches the Rfam family "transfer-messenger RNA". From Rfam's summary of the family: Bacterial tmRNA, also known as 10Sa RNA or SsrA, is named for its dual tRNA and mRNA-like properties. The record is from RNAcentral. Lineage: Bacteria; Bacillati; Actinomycetota; Acidimicrobiia; Acidimicrobiales.
GGGGCUGAUCGGUUUCGACGUCGGGACCGGAAGCGACAUCGUGCGACCCGAGUUGCUCAGACUCGUUAAUCGGGGCAACCACACAACUGCCGAAAAGCAGCAGUUCGCUCUCGCCGCCUAAUUCUUAGGUAGCGAUUGUGGACACAUCGCGAGCCGCAAGGCCACGCGGGGCCUGACCACUACAGCCUGGCAACAGAAGUAGUGGUGGACGGUGGGAGAGACCACUGACCGGAGGGAAAGACCCCUGACGAUCGAGGAAAGACUCGACGGUGCGCCCACCCGGGGGCGUGGCAACCGCAAGCCACAGACACGGGAAUGGUCGUAGCACGAGCCGUGACCGCCAGACGGACGGGGGUUCGAUUCCCCCCAGCUCCACGA